CGAUUCGACCGGCGCCUACGCGGGUGUCGCAAGCUGUAAACGGCAUCGGGGCGGGGAGCAGAGCACGUUUCGCCGGGCGACCUCGGCCAAGUUCAACGGAGUUCCCGCUGACGGGCAAGCAGACUCAGCACAGUCAACUGGGAAGCUGAAUCCACAGUCUCCGCGGUGGACAAAAAGGUUCCAUGUCGGACGGGCAGCACCGGACAGGAUACCCGGCGCAUCCAGGAAGAGUGCCCUUGAAAAAUCUAUCUGUGGAUAUGCAGAAAAGUUUGGGGAUGAGAAUUAGGUGUGGAAAGAGCCACCGGAGCGUAGAGAAAUCAAAAUGAAUGCAGGAAAUUGUGUGCGGAUGCUCGGGCAAACCGUCAUCGGAGAACACUAAAUUAUGCAUUGGCGAAUGCUCUGCAAUGAUCGGGUUGCUUGAAACAGCGGAAAUGGAUGGUACAUAAUUGAGGAGAGAGUGAAACAUAACUACAAGGGCUGAAAAUUGUGGAUAAAAAGUCUUCUGGCCUUCACACAAGUACAUAAAUGUGUACACAAGAGAUCUAGUCCGCCAGGUAAGGGAAAAUAACAUAAAUGUUGUAAAAGCAUACAACAUAAUUGCAGCAUUCUUUGGGAAUGAAGGCAAAACGGUCACUUCAAGUUUGGGAACUAAGGAGCAGGCAAACAAUGAUGUCAGAAAACCGUCGAGGCAUUCGAUGAACUAGGAGCAAGGACCAGGACUUCAUGUCUAGGGUGCAAACAGACGAUAAAGUUCGAAUCAAUAAUCUUAUGUGG
This is a long non-coding RNA of Lolium rigidum, 774 nucleotides long. RefSeq lists it as uncharacterized. Lineage: Eukaryota; Viridiplantae; Streptophyta; Magnoliopsida; Poales; Poaceae. The transcript has 4 exons. The record is from RefSeq and is a predicted model, not a curated record.